UCUUUCGGGGGGACAUACGCCGAGGGAUCAAACCCUUAGAGGAAAGUCCGGACACUACUGAGAUACUAUAGCAGAUAACGUCUGCGGCUCCUGGAUAUAUCUAAAACCAGGAGUACGGAAAGUACCACAGAGACAAUACUAUUCUGCUUCGGCAGAAGAAAGGUGAAAAGUCCGCUCCAAGCGGAUAUAAUCAUUCUCCGGAAUGAUUAUGUGGCAAACCCUAUAGAGUGCAAGAGGAAUGGUACUCGGUUCAUCUAUGACGAUCUCGGUCGAUGGAUAGAGUAUACCUCGCUAGAGAGUACGGGCGACCGUACUACGAGAUAGAUGUAUGUCGAGACACAGAAUCCGGCUUACUACCUGAGAGAAGAG
Molecule: non-coding RNA, 369 nt
Organism: Candidatus Gracilibacteria bacterium CG1_02_38_174
Lineage: Bacteria; Candidatus Altimarinota
Source: Rfam